GUCCACGCCCUAACGAUGUUUACUCGACGUCCGGGCCCUGCGUCCGUGCGUCCAAGCGAAAGCGUUAAGUAACCACCUGGGGAGUACGUUCGCAAGAAUGAAACUCAAAGGAAUUGACGGGGUCCGCACAAGCGGUGGAGCAUGUGGUUUAAUUCGAUGAUACGCGAGGAACCUUACCUGGGCUAGAAUGCGAGUGCCGCCCGGUGAAAGCCGGGUUUCCUUCGGGACACAAAGCAAGGUGCUGCAUGGCUGUCGU
Molecule: ribosomal RNA, 256 nt
Filed under: uncultured bacterium
Lineage: Bacteria
Description: partial 16S ribosomal RNA
Rfam family: Bacterial small subunit ribosomal RNA
Source: RNAcentral